UUCACGAUCUCUAUGGAAAAUAUUCACGCUUUCACUUUUUGCUCAGAUAAUAGAACAUUGUAAAUCUCUAACUGAAAAUACGGACCCAAAUGAAUCAAAUUCGAAAGCACGUAUGAUCACGUUUCAUGCCGAUUGCAAGUUCUCGAAAAAGGGGGGUACACAUGUAAUUUCAAUGCCCCAUAAAUUGCAAAAUAUAGGCUACUGAGGCACCACGAAUUUUGAAGAACGUCUCGGGUUCAACUCAAAAGUGGACCCCAUACUGGGCCCAUAGGCGGAUUUAGGGGGGUGCAGGCUCCCUCUUUUGGGGAAAAAAUUUGGUUGCUUAUAUAGGGAAUCAAUGAAGCGUGACUAGAGCCCUCUUACAAAAAUGUAGGUCAGGCAGUUGGCCCACACCUAUGAAAAUUUCUGGAUCCGCCACUAGACCCACUUUUACUGUUGGAUGUUUUAUACCAGGAUGGAGAAAGAUGUUCACUAUGAAUCAAAAAUUCAAAACAGAGGACUUUUAUAUAUCAACAAAAACAAUUGCAGUACAUGCACAUAUACAUGUAUAAAAGUACACUGUCAGCAUGGUCAGAAGAAGAAUUUUACUGGAGGAUUAAAAUUUUGAUACCUGGAAUCAGCAAUGAAUAUGAAAAUGAAAAUGAUAUAUAUUCAUGUACAGAAUGGUAACCGAGGUGGUUCAAUUGUUUUAUUAGCAGACAUUUUUGUUGAACUUAUGCAGGAUUGAAUAAAUGAAACUUAAGCUGACUAUGGGCUCAAUGUGUAGUAAAAAGAGGAUUUUGAAAUAUAUGCAAGAUUCAUCAACAUUACAAUGUGCACAAGUGAAAUAUCACCUUAUUUAGUAAAAAAAAAAAAUCA
Mytilus trossulus (common blue mussel) is the source of this 858-nucleotide long non-coding RNA. RefSeq lists it as uncharacterized. The transcript is spliced from 3 exons. The record is from RefSeq and is a predicted model, not a curated record. Lineage: Eukaryota; Metazoa; Mollusca; Bivalvia; Mytilida; Mytilidae.